UGGGUGGCUCUCCAUCGCCGGUGGCACCAGU
This 31-nucleotide non-coding RNA is filed under the name Rattus norvegicus (Norway rat). The record is from RNAcentral. Lineage: Eukaryota; Metazoa; Chordata; Mammalia; Rodentia; Muridae.